AGCGUGUGUGGUGCGCGCCUGCCUUGAGGCCAGGCCUCAGAGAAGGGUGUCCCAGAUGUAGGCAAAGCGUCCUCCAUGUGUUCCUGGAGGACCGUCCCAAGUCCUUCUCCAUUCUCCCAACCUCUUGGGCCUGGGAUGUCCUCCACCUUUUCAAUCUGAUUUGCUCUUUGCCAUGCAGACCUGUGGAUGAAGAGCCAGAGUCCUCCAAGGUGAAGCUGGACUGAAUAUUUCUGUCCAUAAGACUAUUAGAAUCCCCCAAAGUGGGAUACCAGUGAGGACCUCACCAGCAGCUGCUGUCUCUCCAAUGCAGCUCCACAGGGCCUGUGAGCAGGGCUGGCUAUGAGAUCCUGCCCUGAAGAGCAGUACUGGGCUGCUCUGCUAGGCACCUGCAUGUCCUGCAAAGCCAUCUGCAACCAUCAGAGCCAGCGCACCUGUGCAGCCUCCUGCGGUGAGUUCUGGGACCUGAGCCCAGGGGACAGUGUGAUCACCCCCAACGCCUGUCCCCAGAGCACCCUCUGGCCCCACAGUCAGGUGGCUGAGGAGAGGAUGGCAGGAGGAGAUGUACAGUGUGGCACCUCUUAUCCCUCCACCUUCCUGCUCUGGCCACACUGCCUCCUUUCAGUGUCGAACAUGCCAUGUUCUUCCCUGCC
Molecule: long non-coding RNA, 650 nt
Filed under: Homo sapiens (human)
Lineage: Eukaryota; Metazoa; Chordata; Mammalia; Primates; Hominidae
Description: long non-coding RNA NONHSAT174996.1
Source: RNAcentral